This is a long non-coding RNA of Numida meleagris (helmeted guineafowl), 1099 nucleotides long. The record is from Ensembl. NCBI's taxonomy places the organism in Eukaryota, Metazoa, Chordata, Aves, Galliformes, Numididae.
UUUGGGGGGGGGGUCCCCUCAGAGUAAGGGGAGCAGCAGGAAGGGGAGGAGCCACCCGGGCCCCCCCAGCGACGCCCCGCCCCCCGCGGGGACCUUCACCCCGUACUUCCGCUCCCAGGAGCCCCCGGGGCGCCCUGACCCCGGAAGUGAUCCCGGGGGGUCAGCGUCGGCCAUGUUGGGAUCGGCGUCGCCCAUACUGGGAGCGGCAUUGGCCGUACUGGGAUCGGGGUUCUUCAUACUGGGACCGGCGUCGGCCUUACUGGGACCGGCGUCGGCCUUACUGGGACCAGCGCUGGCCGUACUGGUGUCGGCGUUGGCCGUACUGGGAUUGGCGUUGGCCGUACUGGUGUUGGUACUGGCCGUACUGGUGUUGGUACUGGCCAGCACGUUGACGGCGGCGGCCAUCUUGGCCCCGCUCCUUUUCCCGUUGACGCUCUCGUUACCGGGCGCCGCCAUCUUGGAAUCCGCGGGGGCCGCCAUCUUGGUGCCGUUGGCGGCCACGUUGGAAUCCGCGGGCGCCGCCAUCUUGGCGCCGCCGGCCUCCACGUGACUUCCGUUGGGCGCCGCCAUCUUGGCGCCGCCGGCCUCCACGUGACUUCCGUUGGGCGCCGCCAUCUUGGCCCCGCCGGCCUCCACGUGGGUCGCGUUGGGCGCCGCCAUCUUGGCCCCGCCGUGGGGCUGCGCCGUGGGGCCGUGGCCGUGGGGCAGGAGCUCGAGGCGGGGCAGGUGUGGGGCGAAGAAGGUUUUGUUGCGGAGGUCCCGGUUGCAGAAGUCGCCGUGGCAACACGAACCCCUGAGCCCCACGGCGCCGUCCCCGCGCGUCACCUGGGUGCAGUCGGGGUCCCGGGCGCAGCCUCGCACUUCACGCCACAACGACACGCCGCCUGUGGGGCACAGAGCCGCCGUCAGCCCCACAAGUGGGCCGCCGGGACCCAGAAGUUGGGUAUUGGGACCCGUAAGUUGGAGAUCGGGACCCAUAAGUUGGAGAUCGGGACCCAUAAGUUGGAUAUUGGGCCCCAUAAGUUGGAUAUUGGGACCCAUAAGUUGGAUAUUGGGCCCCAUAAGUUGGAGAUCGGGCCUCAUAAGUUGGAUAUUGGGA